Molecule: ribosomal RNA, 369 nt
Filed under: marine sediment bacterium BB0608_AND_1.2_3G10
Lineage: Bacteria
Description: bacterial SSU rRNA
Rfam family: Bacterial small subunit ribosomal RNA
Source: RNAcentral
UUGCUACCCGCUGACGAGCGGCGGACGGGUGAGUAAUGCAUAGGAAUCUGCCCGAUAGUGGGGGAUAACCUGGGGAAACCCAGGCUAAUACCGCAUACGUCCUACGGGAGAAAGGGGGCUCCGGCUCCCGCUAUUGGAUGAGCCUAUGUCGGAUUAGCUAGUUGGUGAGGUAAAGGCUCACCAAGGCGACGAUCCGUAGCUGGUCUGAGAGGAUGAUCAGCCACAUCGGGACUGAGACACGGCCCGAACUCCUACGGGAGGCAGCAGUGGGGAAUAUUGGACAAUGGGGGAAACCCUGAUCCAGCCAUGCCGCGUGUGUGAAGAAGGCCCUCGGGUUGUAAAGCACUUUCAGCGAGGAAGAACGCCUAU